CAGUCGCCGCGGUAAUACGAAGGGGGCUAGCGUUGCUCGGAUUUACUGGGCGUAAAGGGCGCGUAGGCGGACAGUUAAGUUGGGGGUGAAAGCCCGGGGCUCAACCUCGGAAUUGCCUUCAAUACUGGCUGUCUUGAGUGUGAGAGAGGUGUGUGGAACUCCGAGUGUAGAGGUGAAAUUCGUAGAUAUUCGGAAGAACACCAGUGGCGAAGGCGACACACUGGCUCACUACUGACGCUGAGGCGCGAAAGCGUGGGGAGCAAACAGGAUUAGAUACCCCCGUAGUCCCUGUCUCUUAUAC
This 301-nucleotide ribosomal RNA is filed under the name uncultured bacterium. RNAcentral describes it as "partial 16S ribosomal RNA". It matches the Rfam family "Bacterial small subunit ribosomal RNA", at positions 509 to 807 of the family's 1533-position model. The record is from RNAcentral.